RNAcentral lists this ribosomal RNA (232 nucleotides) under uncultured bacterium. RNAcentral describes it as "partial 16S ribosomal RNA". It matches the Rfam family "Bacterial small subunit ribosomal RNA", at positions 57 to 305 of the family's 1533-position model. The record is from RNAcentral.
GCAAGUCGAACGAGAACCUAGAGCUUGCUUUAGGGGACAGUGGCAGACGGGUGAGUAACGCGUGGCAACCUACCUAUCAGUACGGAACAACAGUUAGAAAUGACUGCUAAUACCGUAUACGUCCUCCGGGAGAAAGAUUUAUCGCUGAUAGACGGGGCCGCGUUAGAUUAGCUAGUUGGUGAGGUAAUGGCUCACCAAGGCGACGAUCUAUAGCUGGUCUGAGAGGAUGACC